AGAGUUUGAUCCUGGCUCAGAAUCAACGCUGGCGGCGUGCCUAACACAUGCAAGUCGAACGCGAAAGGGGAGCAAUCCCUGAGUAGAGUGGCAAACGGGUGAGUAACACGUGGGUGACCUGCCUCAGAGUGGGGGAUAACGUCCCGAAAGGGACGCUAAUACCGCAUAACAUCCUGCCUUUGGAAAGGCGGAGAUCAAAGCCGGGGAUCGCAAGACCUGGCGCUUGGAGAGGGGCCCGCGUCUGAUUAGCUAGUUGGUAGGGUAACGGCCUACCAAGGCAACGAUCAGUAUCCGGCCUGAGAGGGCGGACGGACACACUGGGACUGAGACACGGCCCAGACUCCUACGGGAGGCAGCAGUGGGGAAUUGUUCGCAAUGGGCGCAAGCCUGAGGACGCAACGCCGCGUGGAGGAUGAAGAUCUUCGGGUCGUAAACUCCUGUCGAGCGGGAAGAACACCUUCCGGGCGAAUAUCCUGGAAGGCUGACGGUACCGCUAAAGGAAGCCCCGGCUAACUCCGUGCCAGCAGCCGCGGUAAU
This 537-nucleotide ribosomal RNA is filed under the name uncultured soil bacterium. RNAcentral describes it as "bacterial SSU rRNA". It matches the Rfam family "Bacterial small subunit ribosomal RNA", at positions 8 to 524 of the family's 1533-position model. The record is from RNAcentral.